Molecule: ribosomal RNA, 252 nt
Filed under: uncultured bacterium
Lineage: Bacteria
Description: partial 16S ribosomal RNA
Rfam family: Bacterial small subunit ribosomal RNA
Source: RNAcentral
UACGGAGGAUGCGAGCGUUAUCCGGAUUUAUUGGGUUUAAAGGGUGCGCAGGCGGCACGGCAAGCCGGCGGUCAAAUCGCGGGGCUCAACCCCGCCCAGCCGUCGGAACUGCCGGGCUAGAGUGGGCGAGAAGUGCGCGGAAUGCGUGGUGUAGCGGUGAAAUGCAUAGAUAUCACGCAGAACUCCGAUUGCGAAGGCAGCGCACCGGCGCCCUACUGACGCUCAGGAACGAAAGCGUGGGUAUCGAACAGG